CCGAGUCAGUGCGCGCGCGAUGCGACCGGCGGUGCACGUGUGCAACGCUGCGCAAUAAUCAACGGUCACUAAUAUAGUGCUGACGAUGUCGGAUUGGUCGGUAUUUGAUCGCGAGUACGCUGAUCGAUAUGACUCGUACCCGUAUCCGUACUAUGAGGAUAAAUUACAACAGGUGCCGGCGGAAUGCGCGCCGUCUCAAACGCAGGACCCUUAUGCGCCGCCGCCGACUCUAACCCUGCUUCUGUCACCGCAGAUCGCAAAACAACCAUGUCAAUACGAGCAGCUGGUGCCCAAAGGGGACAGUCCACGCGAGAUGCGGAAUAAAGCGGAGAAACAAAGGAGGGAUAAAAUGAACGAGUCGAUAGCCCACCUAGCGACCAUCGUGCCGCCCGUGGCGAUACCAGCUAGGAAGAUAGACAAGAUCAGCAAGCUGCGACUCACAGCGCAUUAUUUGCGAUCACAUCAAUACGUUUUCGGGGACACUAUCGACACUAAGACGAAAUGCAACAGGUUCAGCGUAGAGUUCACGAAGACACUUUUGAGGACGCUAAAGGGUUUCCUCAUUGCCUUAACGUAUAAGGGACUAGUUGUGGUGGUAUCUCCCAAUAUACAAGAAUACCUGGGCUACUCGGAGUUGGAGCUACUCGGCCAGAGUAUCUACAGCUACGUCCACGAACACGACCAUGCGCUUCUAAGAGAACAACUAAUGCCCCAGAAUACCAUGUUGGGUUCCAACGGAGAACUGUUAAUACCAGAAGACCCCGAAGGCAAGAAGAGAAUAGCAGAAGAACUCAGAAACGAGAGGCGAAGUUUCAUUAUUCGGUUUAAGAAACUAAACCAACAGCGAUCGGGGCCGGUGCACUAUGUCACAUGUCACGUGGAAGGGACCCUCCGUAUGGCGGAUAAAGCUUGCCCGAAGUACAAUCGCGUCUGCCAAAUCGUUAGACGCGCCAGGUUCAGAGGCGAGAACCCGACGUCGAGCGGAAAUGAUGUUGUAUUCAUCGGAAUGGCUCGACCGACGACUGAAACAUUCAUGACGGAAGGCGUGCUCGAGUCGUUCAAGCUCGAAUACCGUACCAGGCAUUCUAUUGACGGCGAAAUUAUACAAUGCGAACAACGCAUUGCCCUUGUGACUGGCUACAUGACACACGAAGUCAGUGGUAUGAACGCAAUGAACUUUAUGCAUCGCGAUGACGUCCGAUGGGUCAUAUUCGCAUUACGUGAGAUGUACGUCCAAAACCGUAUCUUUGGUGAAUCCUGCUACCGCUUGAUGACGAAGAACGGUCGCUUCAUCUACAUGAGGACUCGGGGCAGAUUGGAUGUCGAUAAAAAUACCAACGCAGUCACCAGUUUUGUUUGUACGAACACGGUUGUCAACGAAGACGAGGGAAAGCAGCUUAUACGCUUGAUGAAGAAGAGGUUCAAAAUACUCGUUAAUAAUGGUGACGAUAAAGAUACCGAUGAGGAUGAAGCUUCCCAGGCAACCAACCGUCCUAUGGAAAAAGCUAUAGGAGAGACAAACUCAGACCUUUCCGCUCAGUGUCUCAGACUCCUCCAGAGGAUCCGGCGGAGCCCCAGCCGGGGCCCAGUGGGAUUUGCGGGGUUAGGCGCUCCCACGAGGAUACCGAAGAGGAGCCCCCGUCGAAAAUAUUAAAGAAUGAAGACAUUUAUUCCGAAGACAGUCUCCUCGAAGCCCUGCGUCUUGAUGCCGAUGAGCAAAUUAAGAUUUCUGAAAUAGAUGCCAAUGGCAUAGACUACAAAAACGUCUUAGAAGAGGCAAAGAGGGACAAAAGUUCAUAUUUCGAAGAUUUCCUCUAAACAGUUUACGAUUCUUCAUUCUUAAAUCAUGCGCAUCUGAUUUUCCUGUGGAGCGCGGAUAUUUUGAAUGAAAGUACAUUUGAUCCUGUUUAAAUAUGAACUUUAAAUUUCAAUUGAUAUAAUUA
Molecule: unclassified non-coding RNA, 1943 nt
Filed under: Zerene cesonia (dogface butterfly)
Lineage: Eukaryota; Metazoa; Arthropoda; Insecta; Lepidoptera; Pieridae
Description: aryl hydrocarbon receptor nuclear translocator-like protein 1, transcript variant X2
Source: RNAcentral